AACGAACGCUGGCGGCAUGCCUAACACAUGCAAGUCGAACGAGACCCUCGGGUCUAGUGGCGCACGGGUGCGUAACGCGUGGGAAUCUGCCCUUGGGUGCGGAAUAACAGUUAGAAAUGACUGCUAAUACCGCAUAAUGACUCCGGUCCAAAGAUUUAUCGCCCAGGGAUGAGCCCGCGUCGGAUUAGCUAGUUGGUAGGGUAAAAGCCUACCAAGGCAACGAUCCGUAGCUGGUCUGAGAGGAUGAUCAGCCACACUGGGACUGAGACACGGCCCAGACUCCUACGGGAGGCAGCAGUGGGGAAUAUUGGACAAUGGGCGAAAGCCUGAUCCAGCAAUGCCGCGUGAGUGAUGAAGGCCUUAGGGUUGUAAAGCUCUUUUACCCGGGAUGAUAAUGACAGUACCGGGAGAAUAAGCCCCGGCUAACUCCGUGCCAGCCGCCGCAGUAA
This 449-nucleotide ribosomal RNA is filed under the name uncultured bacterium. RNAcentral's name for it is "partial 16S ribosomal RNA". It matches the Rfam family "Bacterial small subunit ribosomal RNA", at positions 29 to 523 of the family's 1533-position model. The record is from RNAcentral.